GAUGUACGCUGGCGGCGUGCCUAAUACAUGCAAGUCGAGCGAACGGACGAGAAGCUUGCUUUUCUGAUGUUAGCGGCGGACGGGUGAGUAACACGUGGAUAACCUACCUAUAAGACUGGGAUAACUUCGGGAAACCGGAGCUAAUACCGGAUAAUAUUUUGAACCGCAUGGUUCAAAAGUGAAAGACGGUCCUGCUGUCACUUAUAGAUGGAUCCGCGCUGCAUUAGCUAGUUGGUAAGGUAACGGCUUACCAAGGCAACGAUGCAUAGCCGACCUGAGAGGGUGAUCGGCCACACUGGAACUGAGACACGGUCCAGACUCCUACGGGUGGCAGCAGUAGGGAAUCUUCCGCAAUGGGCGAAAGCCUGACGGAGCAACGCCGCGUGAGUGAUGAAGGUCUUCGGAUCGUAAAACUCUGUUAUUAGGGAAGAACAUAUGUGUAAGUAACUGUGCACAUCUUGACGGUACCUAAUCAGAAAGCCACGGCUAACUACGUG
Molecule: ribosomal RNA, 497 nt
Filed under: uncultured bacterium
Lineage: Bacteria
Description: partial 16S ribosomal RNA
Rfam family: Bacterial small subunit ribosomal RNA
Source: RNAcentral